Molecule: ribosomal RNA, 258 nt
Filed under: uncultured bacterium
Lineage: Bacteria
Description: partial 16S ribosomal RNA
Rfam family: Bacterial small subunit ribosomal RNA
Source: RNAcentral
UACGGGGGGGAGCAAGCGUUGUUCGGAUUUACUGGGCGUAAAGGGCGGGUAGGCGGCCACCGCAAGUCAGUUGUGAAAUCUCUGGGCUUAACCCAGAAAGGUCAACUGGAUACUGCGGGGCUAGAGUGCAGAAGGGGCAACUGGAAUUCUCGGUGAGCGGUGAAAUGCGUAGAGUAAUCGGGAGGAACACCUGCGCGGAAGGCGGGUUGCGUGGGCUGACACUGACGCUGAACUGCGAAAGCUAGGGGAGCGAACGGG